AUUAAAACAUCUGUUAUUUCAAUGCAAAAUUUGUCACUAAUGUCUCCAGGUACAUUGUGUGUUUCAUUGCUAUUAAACUGUUUAUUCUGUAGGAUUUGAGUAAGGGAGGGAAUUCAGAGAUAAUUUGCUUAACACCACCCUAGGAAAUUUCAGUGCAGACAAGGUAAAUUAUUACCCAUAAAGGCCUGCUUGUUGAAAUUGAAGCCAAUUUUCCAAAAUACAGCCCACUGUUCCUCUUCUGUAACUGACUAAAAGAUAUGCAGGAACUAUAUUUAGACAUUACGGCCUCCUUUGUUACUUAGGACUGUUUAGAGAGAGAAAUAAGUUCAGCAAUCACAAAAUCUAUAGCACACUGAAAUCAUGGAAUGAAAAGUAGGAAUACAGUGAUUUCUCUCAUUCUUAGGAGUGCAUUUUGUCUGAGUUAUGCUUGUAUUGUCUGUUUAUACUUGCAGUGACUCCUUUCAAGAAAAGCAGAUAAAAUAAGAAUCCUAGAUGUAUAGAUUUUUGAGGGGAAGAACUAUAGUGAUCAUUUAGUCCAAUCACAUUUAAUCAACUUUUUUUGCUGCUUAGUACUUCAUCGGGAUUUCUCAUCCAGAACAAGAAACUCAGCACAACCACAGCUGAAUCAGUUUAGAUUUCUUUCUUGCUUUUUCACAUUUGCAAGAGUAAGACAAAAGAAUUCGUGUAGACUGACUGAAUAAAAUAGUAGAAAUAACAGUAAGAGACAGUAUGGUAUAGUAAGUAAGAGCAAAGAUUCUAGAAUAAGGUUGACUGGGUUUGAUUAUUUGUUAUCAAUUAGCUGGUGCAUCUGGGAAAGUUACUUCAUCUCUUUCUCUGUACCUCGGUUUUGACAUAUGUAAAAGUGGGGAUAGUGAUAGUACUUGCCUCAUAUGGUUGUUAGCAGAAUUCAAUGAGUCAACAUAUACAAAAUACUUAGCUUGUUAUAUAGGAAAUGCUUUAUGAGUACAAAAGUUACCAAACAUAAUUUGAUAGAGGUUACAAGAAUGGGAGAGGAAGCAUCAGGAUGUCUCCAUAGAGGAACAGAAUAGAAUGGCACAGUACAAGAGAGAGACAUACUCAAUGACCUGUUAGACGAGGAGUAGACCUGGUCUUCUUAGUGUAGUGAACUGCCUGAAGAUCGCCAAGAAGAGGAGUCUUUGAAUAAAUGCCUCUCUUAUUGUGUCCUGGGUAAACUGACUGUAGAAGGCCGAAUAGUGGCCCCCAGUGAUGCUGACAUCCUAAUCUCCAGAACCUGUGAAUGUGGUACCUUACAUGGCAAAGGGGAGUUUGCAGAUGUGAUUAAGGUAUGGAAUUUGACAUGGGGGAGAUUAUCCUGGUGGAUUAUCUGGGUGGGCCAAAUCUAAUCACCAGAUUCCUUAAAAGCAGAGACCCUUGUCAUGCCAUGGUAAGGGAAUGAAAUAUAGUGAUAAAAGAAGAAUCAGAGAGAUGCUAUGCUUCUGAAUUUAAAGAUGAAAGAGGAUGCCCUGAGGUAAGGAAUUCAGACACCCUCUAGAAUCUGGAAAAGGCAAGGAUUAUUUCCUAGUCUCCAGAAAGGAACACAACCCUGCCAACACCUUGACCUUAGGUCGGUGAGACCCAUGUCAAACUUCUAGCCUGCAGAACUGCAU
Molecule: long non-coding RNA, 1628 nt
Filed under: Equus caballus (horse)
Lineage: Eukaryota; Metazoa; Chordata; Mammalia; Perissodactyla; Equidae
Description: lncRNA (ENSECAG00000052081.1)
Source: RNAcentral